GGAGCCCGAUGUGAGGCUCGAUCCCAGGACCUUAAGAUUAUGACCUGGGCUGAAGGCAGACACUUAAACGACUGAGCCAUGCAGGUGCCCCUAAAAUUUAAAUUUUAGUUAAUGAACAUACACUGUAAUAUUGGUUUCUGGAGUCGAAUUCAGUGAUUCAUCACUUACACACAGAGUCCAUGUUCCUCACCCACGAAACUAAUAAUUCUCUCUCUUGUUUGACUUUGCUUCUCUCCAAUUAUGAGUGAGGUUGAUGACCAUUUUAUGUGUUUGCUAAACUUCAGAUUUAUCUUUGUGAACUGCCUGAAUAUGCUUGUCUCAUUGACUCAUCAUUAUGUAAUUGUGCUUAUUUUUAUUGGUUUGCAGAGGUUUCUGUAUAUAUUCUGAAAAGCGAAUACUAUUUAGUGUAUAUAGGAUGCAACCAUUUUCUCCAAGUCAAGAGCUCAGCUUUUCUUUUUCUUAUGUCAUUUUGAGUUUUUUUUAAAAAUUCAUCACGCAUUAUUUUUUCCAUCAUGGUUGUCUUUAAUUUUUUAUUGAAGUAAUUCUUUCCUGUUUCAAAAUCAUAAAGAUAUUUCUUCACGAUUUCUUCUUAAUAUGUCUUUCUUUUAUUUUUCCAUACAGAUAGCCAAUUUUACCAGUAAUAUUUAUGGAAAAUUCUAUCCUUUGCUGCACUGAAUCAUAAUGUCACCUGCAACAUUUAUCAUUUUUCCUACAUGUAAAGUUAUUCGGGGGCUCUUUAUUCCUUUCCAUUGAGAUAUUCCAUCUCCUCAUAGAUAGCAAAAUAGUUUAACUGCAAUAUCUUUUUAGUAAGUCUUAUCAUCUAGUGGGUUGAAUUUUCUCCCAUGCAAUUAGAAUACUAACACUUGGAUAUAUUCAUUUCUUCAGCUUUCCAUGUAAAAUUUCGGAUCAAUUUGAAUAUGCAAAAACACAAAACAACAACAAAACAACAACAAAAGGCAAACACCAACUUGUGGAUUGGGGAUAAUUUGAAUGCAUGGAUUAAUUUAGGGAGAACUGACAUUUUUAUUUUAUUGAGUCUUUGCAGACAUAAACUGGCAAACAUGGCAAAUCUCUCAAUCCCUUGUGUUUUUUUAUGUCUUUUUUGAGAUCUAAUAUAUUUUUUCAUAAAAGUCCCAUAUAAUAUGGGUUAGAUUUAUUCUUAAGCACCUUAUUUUUUGUUUUUAUUGUAAAUAACUCUUUUGAAGUUAGAUUUUCUAAUUAUUCAUUCCAGGCAUUUAUGAAAGCUAUAGAUUCUUAUGACAGUAGGCUUCCUUAUGUUGUUGCUCCUUUAAAAUGAAAUGUCUUUAACAUUUCCUCAUUAAAAAUGAUACAGGUUUUGAAAGAUAAUCUAUAGCAAAGUUAAGGACAUUCUUUUCUAUUCCUAAAUUUAAAAAGAUUUUUUAAAGUUUUUAUUUUAGCUCCAGUGCAGUUAACAUACAGUUUCAGGUGUACAGUACAGUGAGUCACCCCUUCCAUACAACACCCAGUGCUCACCCGACAAAGCCCUCCUUAAUCCCCAUCACCCAUCCCACCCACCCCCACCCACCUCCCUUCUGGUGACCAUCAGUAUGUUCUCUAGAGUUAAGAGUCUGUCUUGGUUUGCUCCUCUCCCCUGUUCUCCCCUUUGUUCAUUUUUUUUGUCUCUUAAAUUCUGCAUAUGAGUGAAAUCAUAUGGAACCUGUCUUUCUCUGACUGACUUACUUUGCUUAGCAUAAUACUCUCUAGCUCCAUCCAUGUCAUUGCAAAUGGCAAGAUUUCCUUCUUUUUUUUUGGGGGGGGGCUGAUUAACAAAUAUCCCAUUGUAUAUAUAGACCACAUCUUUAUCCGUUUAUCAGUUGAUGGACACUUGGGCUGUUUCCAUAAUUUGGCUAUUAUAGAAAUGCUGCUCUGGGCAAUGGGGUUUCUCACUGAGUUAGUAUUUUUGUAUUUUUUGAGAAAAUACCUAGUGGUACAAUUGCUGGAUCAUAAGGUAGGUCUAUUUUUACCUUCCCAAGGAAGCUCCAUACUGUUCUUCAGAGCACCUACCCCAGUUUGCAUUUCCCAUAGUGAAAGAGGGUUCCCCUUUUUCCACAUCCUCGCUCAUCUCCAAUUACACCUCAGUAGAGGUGCUUCAACCAAACUGGUCUCUUUCCUUUGUCUGUGAUCUCUCCUCUGUGUCUUUCCUCCUAUACCAUUUCCUGUCCCAUAAAGCCCCUCUUACUGCACUGUCUCUGCAGUUUCAGUGCCAUCCAUCUGCAUUUAUUAGGAUCAUGUUAGCUCUUAAAACAGACCAACUCUUCAAUUCUAAUGACAACACGAUAAAGAGUUUAUUUCUCGUUCAAUGAAGGUGCUCUUGGUCAGUGGUGUGGGGUGAGGUGUGGUCAGAGGAGUCAUCUACCUCACAAGGUCACUCAAGACCGCCCAUCUUCAGGUCAUCCAAGGGCAACCUGGUCAUCACUGUCCAGCUUGCAGAAAGGGAGGAGAUGGGAGAGAAGGGACACCACUUCCUGAUCCCAAGGGAGCCACAUACAUUCAUUGGUGAGAACGACUUUUAUGGCCCUGCAUAAUCUCAAGGGAAUUUUAGAAAAGAGGUCUAUGUGAUCAGUAGGGGCAUGAGCCUUUGAUGGGCAGUGAGUGGUCUCUGCCGAAUCAUCUGUCAUGACGCAUCUUUAUACCACCUUCCUAGUCAGAUAAGCAGUGUUUCCCAUUGGCCCUUUGUAGCAUUAAAAAAAAAAUCUAUUAGGGGGGUGGGUGCCUGGGUGGCUCAGUCAGUUAAGCAUCUGCCUUUGGCUCAAGUCAUAAUCUCCUACGGGAAUCAAGUCCUGCAAUGGGCUCACCAUUCAGCGGGGAGCCUGUUUCUUCCUCUCCCUUUGCCCUUCUCUCCACUCAUGUCGCUCUCUUUGUUUCUCAAAUAAAUACAUAAGGUCUUUUUAAAAAGACUUAGGAGCACCUGCGUAGCUCAGUCUGUUCAGCAUCAGCCUUUGGUUCAGGUCAUGAUUCCCUCCUCAGUGGGGGAGUCUGCUUCUCUCUCUGCCCCUGCCCAUGCACGUGCAUGCUCUCUCUCGCUCGCUCUCUCUCAUUCACUUCUCUCCCUAUAAUAAAUAAAUACAAUCUUUAAAAAUAAAAAAAAUAAAAA
This 3115-nucleotide long non-coding RNA is filed under the name Canis lupus familiaris (dog). RNAcentral's name for it is "lncRNA (ENSCAFG00000050744.1)". The record is from RNAcentral. Lineage: Eukaryota; Metazoa; Chordata; Mammalia; Carnivora; Canidae.